This 429-nucleotide ribosomal RNA is filed under the name Bacteroidota bacterium. Its description in RNAcentral is "Bacteroidetes bacterium partial 16S ribosomal RNA". It matches the Rfam family "Bacterial small subunit ribosomal RNA", at positions 355 to 776 of the family's 1533-position model. Lineage: Bacteria; Pseudomonadati; Bacteroidota. The record is from RNAcentral.
UAGGGAAUCUUCCGCAAUGGACGCAAGUCUGACGGAGCAACGCCGCGUGAGUGAAGAAGGACUUCGGUUCGUAAAACUCUGUUGUUAGAGAAGAACAGCGCAUAGAGUAACUGUUAUGCGUGUGACGGUAUCUAACCAGAAAGCCACGGCUAACUACGUGCCAGCAGCCGCGGUAAUACGUAGGUGGCAAGCGUUGUCCGGAUUUAUUGGGCGUAAAGCGAGCGCAGGCGGUCAAUUAAGUCUGAUGUGAGAGCCCCCGGCUCAACCGGGGAGGGUCAUUGGACACUGGUAGACUUGAGUGCAGAAGAGGAGAGUGGAAUUCCAUGUGUAGCGUUGAAAUGCGUAGAUAUAUGGAGGAACACCAGUGGCGAAGGCGACUCUCUGGUCUGUAACUGACGCUGAGGCUCGAAAGCGUGGGUAGCAAACAGG